RNAcentral lists this ribosomal RNA (497 nucleotides) under uncultured bacterium. RNAcentral's name for it is "partial 16S ribosomal RNA". It matches the Rfam family "Bacterial small subunit ribosomal RNA", at positions 28 to 507 of the family's 1533-position model. The record is from RNAcentral.
GAUGAACGCUGGCGGCGUGCCUAAUACAUGCAAGUCGAGCGAACAGACGAGGAGCUUGCUCCUCUGACGUUAGCGGCGGACGGGUGAGUAACACGUGGAUAACCUACCUAUAAGACUGGGAUAACUUCGGGAAACCGGAGCUAAUACCGGAUAAUAUAUUGAACCGCAUGGUUCAAUAGUGAAAAACGGUUUUGCUGUCACUUAUAGAUGGAUCCGCGCCGCAUUAGCUAGUUGGUAAGGUAACGGCUUACCAAGGCAACGAUGCGUAGCCGACCUGAGAGGGUGAUCGGCCACACUGGAACUGAGACACGGUCCAGACUCCUACGGGAGGCAGCAGUAGGGAAUCUUGCGCAAUGGGCGAAAGCCUGACGGAGCGACGCCGCGUGAGUGAUGAAGGUCUUCGGAUCGUAAAACUCUGUUAUUAGGGAAGAACAAAAGUGUAAGUAACUAUGCACGUCUUGACGGUACCUAAACAGAAAGCCACGGCUAACUACGUG